Molecule: ribosomal RNA, 301 nt
Filed under: uncultured bacterium
Lineage: Bacteria
Description: partial 16S ribosomal RNA
Rfam family: Bacterial small subunit ribosomal RNA
Source: RNAcentral
CAGUCGCCGCGGUAAUACGGAGGGGGCUAGCGUUGUUCGGAAUUACUGGGCGUAAAGCGCACGUAGGCGGCUUGGUAAGUUAGAGGUGAAAGCCCGGAGCUCAACUCCGGAAUUGCCUUUAAGACUGCCGAGCUAGUAGGUGAGAGAGGUAAGUGGAACUCCGAGUGUAGAGGUGAAAUUCGUAGAUAUUCGGAAGAACACCAGUGGCGAAGGCGGCUUACUGGCUCAUUCUAGACGCUGAGGUGCGAAAGCGUGGGGAGCAAACAGGAUUAGAUACCCCCGUAGUCCCUGUCUCUUAUAC